CCUGGAUCUCAGCUUUACGAUGAUACCGGAUUUACUAUGCGUAGUGUUCCACAGCUGUGCUGUACAGUUCAUUUUAUAUGCGAAAGUCGGUCUACUCGAAAGUACAGAGACCGGCCCCUGAUAUAUGAUCAGUGGACAUCGACUAACAUUUAUCUACAA
This is a long non-coding RNA of Bradysia coprophila, 159 nucleotides long. The record is from RefSeq and is a predicted model, not a curated record. Lineage: Eukaryota; Metazoa; Arthropoda; Insecta; Diptera; Sciaridae.